RNAcentral lists this transfer RNA (73 nucleotides) under Felis catus (domestic cat). It matches the Rfam family "tRNA". Rfam says of the family: Transfer RNA (tRNA) molecules are approximately 80 nucleotides in length. Their secondary structure includes four short double-helical elements and three loops (D, anti-codon, and T loops). Further hydrogen bonds mediate the characteristic L-shaped molecular structure. tRNAs have two regions of fundamental functional importance: the anti-codon, which is responsible for specific mRNA codon recognition, and the 3' end, to which the tRNAs corresponding amino acid is attached (by aminoacyl-tRNA synthetases). tRNAs cope with the degeneracy of the genetic code in two manners: having more than one tRNA (with a specific anti-codon) for a particular amino acid; and 'wobble' base-pairing, i.e. permitting non-standard base-pairing at the 3rd anti-codon position. Lineage: Eukaryota; Metazoa; Chordata; Mammalia; Carnivora; Felidae. The record is from Rfam by way of RNAcentral. RNAcentral also lists the same sequence under 6 other names.
ACCUGGCUGGCUCAGUCAGUGGAGUGUAUGACUCUUGAUCCCGAGGUCAUGGGUUCAAAUCCCAUGUUAGGUA